GUUAAGAUAGCUUAAUAAGAGCGUUACAUUGAAGCUGUGAAGGUGAUUUUUCUUUUAACA
Molecule: transfer RNA, 60 nt
Filed under: Jesogammarus hinumensis
Lineage: Eukaryota; Metazoa; Arthropoda; Malacostraca; Amphipoda; Anisogammaridae
Description: tRNA-Phe
Source: RNAcentral